GGGGGUGUAGCUCAGUGGUAGAGUGCGUGCUUAGCAUGCACGAGGCCCUGGGUUCGAUCCCCAGCACCUCCA
RNAcentral lists this transfer RNA (72 nucleotides) under Dipodomys ordii (Ord's kangaroo rat). RNAcentral's name for it is "tRNA-Ala (AGC) (tRNA-Ala-AGC-5-1)". It matches the Rfam family "tRNA". From Rfam's summary of the family: Transfer RNA (tRNA) molecules are approximately 80 nucleotides in length. Their secondary structure includes four short double-helical elements and three loops (D, anti-codon, and T loops). Lineage: Eukaryota; Metazoa; Chordata; Mammalia; Rodentia; Heteromyidae. The record is from Rfam by way of RNAcentral.